This 551-nucleotide ribosomal RNA is filed under the name uncultured bacterium. RNAcentral's name for it is "bacterial SSU rRNA". It matches the Rfam family "Bacterial small subunit ribosomal RNA", at positions 355 to 896 of the family's 1533-position model. The record is from RNAcentral.
UCGGGAAUAUUGGGCAAUGGGCGCAAGCCUGACCCAGCGACGCCGCGUGAGGGAUGAAGGCCUUCGGGUCGUAAACCUCUGUCGGGAGGGAAGAAUGGCGGUGAGGCGAAUAGUCUCGCUGUCUGACGGUACCUCCAAAGGAAGCGCCGGCUAACUCCGUGCCAGCAGCCGCGGUAAUACGGAGGGCGCAAGCGUUGUUCGGAAUCACUGGGCGUAAAGCGCGUGUAGGCGGCCGGGCAAGUCGGAUGUGAAAUCCCGAGGCUCAACCUCGGAACUGCAUUCGAAACUGCUCGGCUCGAGUCCCGGAGAGGAUGGCGGAAUUCCCGGUGUAGGGGUGAAAUCCGUAGAUAUCGGGAGGAACACCCGUGGCGAAAGCGACCUACUGGACCGAUACUGACGCUGAGACGCGAAAGCGUGGGGAGCAAACAGGAUUAGAUACCCUGGUAGUCCACGCCGUAAACGUUGGGCACUAGGUGUUGCGGGUGUUGACCCCUGCAGUGCCGAAGCAAACGCAUUAAGUGCCCCGCCUGGGGAGUACGGCCGCAAGGCUA